RNAcentral lists this ribosomal RNA (440 nucleotides) under uncultured bacterium. RNAcentral describes it as "partial 16S ribosomal RNA". It matches the Rfam family "Bacterial small subunit ribosomal RNA", at positions 338 to 795 of the family's 1533-position model. The record is from RNAcentral.
CCUACGGGAGGCAGCAGUGGGGGAUAUUGCACAAUGGGGGGAACCCUGAUGCAGCGACGCCGCGUGGGUGAAGAAGCGCCUCGGCGCGUACAGCCCUGUCAGCAGGGAAGAAAAUGACGGUAACUGAAGAAGAAGCCCCGGCUAACUACGUGCCAGCAGCCGCGGAAAUACGUAGGGGGCAAGCGUUAUCCGGAUUUACUGGGUGUAAAGGGGGCGCAGACGGCGAUGCAAGCCAGGAGUGAAAGCGCGGGGCCCAACCCCGGGACUGCGUUUGGAACUGCGUGGCUGGAGUGCAGGAGGGGCAGGCGGAAUUCCUGGUGUAGCGGUGAAAUGCGUAGAUAUCAGGAGGAACACCGGUGGCGAAGGCGGCCUGCUGGACUGCAACUGACGUUGAGGCCCGAAAGCGUGGGGAGCAAACAGGAUUAGAUACCCUAGUAGUC